AGGAAUUUGGAAUCGCAGGAAAUGCACCUCUCAAGGCGAUGGUGCUAUCUGCUACUUUUCUUCAAAUAAAGUGCAAUUAAAGCAAACCGAAACAUCAUCAAAGUGUCCAGACUCUCCUAAUGAAGCAUCACAAUGGCUACACUACAAAGAUUAUUGCUAUGCAUUUGAUAUGGCAUUUUAUAAUUAUUCCAUAUAUACUGGAAACACAGCUAGGAAAAUUUGCAAGAAACUUAAUCCUUCUGCAGAUGUUCUGACUAUCAAGGAUGAAAAGGAAAAUACGUUUGUGAGCACACACUUGAAAGAAUAUUAUUUUAUUACUGGAAAAGUAUGGCUUGGAAUACAAUUUAAUGGUAAGGAAAAGCUGGAUG
This 368-nucleotide long non-coding RNA is filed under the name Notechis scutatus (mainland tiger snake). RNAcentral describes it as "lncRNA (ENSNSUG00000020571.1)". The record is from RNAcentral. Lineage: Eukaryota; Metazoa; Chordata; Lepidosauria; Squamata; Elapidae.